GGACCAAGGAGUCUGGCGCGCGCGCGAGUCAUUGGGAACGACUAAACCUAAAGGCGAAGUGAAAGCGAAGGUCCCGCCUCGAGCGGACCGUGGGAGGAUGGGCGGCGAACCAGAAGCGCCGCCCCGCACUCCCGGGGCGUCUCGCGCUCAUCGCGAGGCGAGGCGCACCGUGAGCGCGCGCGCCGGGACCCGAAAGAUGGUGAACUAUGCCUGGUCAGGACGAAGUCAGGGGAAACCCUGAUGGAGGUCCGUAGCGAUUCUGACGUGCAAAUCGAUCGUCGGAACUGGGUAUAGGGGCGAAAGACUAAUCGAACCAUCUAGUAGCUGGUUCCCUCCGAAGUUUCCCUCAGGAUAGCUGGCGCCCGGGAGAACCGCGAGUGAGUUAACUCUGCACGAGUCUCAUCCGGUAAAGCGAAUGAUUAGAGGCAUCGGGGCCGAAACGGCCUCGACCUAUUCUCAAACUUUAAAUGGGUGAGAUCUCCGGCUUGCUCGAAGGCGCAAGCUCUUGAAGCCGGAGAUCGGAUCGACGGGUGCCAAGUGGGCCACUUUUGGUAAGCAGAACUGGCGCUGCGGGAUGAACCGAACGUCGAGUUAAAGCGCCCAAAUCGACGCUUAUGGGACACCAUGAAAGGCGUUGGUAACUUAAGACAGCAGGACGGUGGCCAUGGAAGUCGGA
This 676-nucleotide ribosomal RNA is filed under the name Hovahydrus sinapi. RNAcentral's name for it is "eukaryotic LSU rRNA". It matches the Rfam family "Eukaryotic large subunit ribosomal RNA", at positions 663 to 1265 of the family's 3401-position model. The record is from RNAcentral. Lineage: Eukaryota; Metazoa; Arthropoda; Insecta; Coleoptera; Dytiscidae.